UACGAAGGGUGCAAGCGUUAAUCGGAAUUAUUGGGCGUAAAGAGCUCGUAGGCGGUUUGUCGCGUCUGCUGUGAAAGCCCAGGGCUUAACCCUGGGUUUGCAGUGGGUACGGGCAGGCUGGAGUGCAGUAGGGGAGACUGGAAUUCCUGGUGUAGCGGUGAAAUGCGCAGAUAUCAGGAGGAACACCGAUGGCGAAGGCAGGUCUCUGGGCUGUUACUGACGCUGAGGAGCGAAAGCAUGGGGAGCGAACAGGAUUAGA
This 259-nucleotide ribosomal RNA is filed under the name uncultured prokaryote. RNAcentral's name for it is "partial 16S ribosomal RNA". It matches the Rfam family "Bacterial small subunit ribosomal RNA", at positions 524 to 782 of the family's 1533-position model. The record is from RNAcentral.